Long non-coding RNA from Gouania willdenowi (blunt-snouted clingfish), 1634 nucleotides. Ensembl lists it as uncharacterized. Lineage: Eukaryota; Metazoa; Chordata; Actinopteri; Blenniiformes; Gobiesocidae. The record is from Ensembl.
UAUUAUUUGGACCCCACCCAGCUGGAAUUUUUUUGACAAAAUAGGUGUCUCAUGCACCUGUCAUGACAUCACGCCCAUCCCACUGUUUUAGAACCACUGAACAGCCAAUCAGGUUCUCUUUACUUCAUAAACCAUGACAACAGAAGAGUUCCACCCCUUUACUGUAAGAUAAAAGCAAUCUACCGAAGUCUGUCCCAUUAACACUGCAAUCCACAGCCUAACAAGCCUAUUUUUGAAAGAAGUAUAACAAAUUUAGUAAGAGUCUUUCAUUUUUAGAAGAAAAAUAACCAAUUUUCCCUCUUGGACAUUCAAAAUGGCACAGAGGCAACAGAGAGAAUGGAAGGGAAGGCAAUCCUGUCCUUUUGAAUUCCAGGGAGGUGAAAUUGCCCACCUCAAGCAGAAAGUUCAACAAUUGGAACACGAUUUAAAGCAAAGUGAGCUAAAGUGUAAAGAUUUGGUGAAAAUGGAAAAGAUAUCCUCUUCCAUCAUUAAACAACAGAAGGAGGAACUCUCCCAACUCAGAUGUGGUCUACAAAAGCCAGUGAGAGAUUUAAAAAAACAAAACGUUAAAUGUGAUCAGGACUUCCAGGCUGAAAAGAAGCAGUGGGAGGCAGAAAAGAAAGAGAUGAAGGAACACAUAGAGCUGCUCACGACCUGGAACCACAACCAGCUGAUGGGAUUCUCUGCACAAAGCGCUAGAUUUAUGAAUGACAUCCUCAUCAGAGAUCAAGAGUUGGAAAUAAGGGCGGGUAUCGUGGUUCAGUGCCAAAAAAGUAUUUCCUACUUGGAGACCCUUCUCAAUACAGACAUACUGGAAAGCAGAAUGGUUCAACACGAACAAAUUAUCUCCAUCCUGAGGAACACAGUGGGGACAACAAAGAGAGUCAAUGAAGUUCAUAAAGCUCAAUCUGCAGAAGAGCGUAACAAUCAUCAGGCUCAGAUAAGACAACAGGAGGCGAAGAAGGAAGAACUUCUAAAACAAGUGCAGGAACCCAAGCUUGUUCGUUACCACGAUGAAAACCAGGCUGAAGAAGAAUGGCCUCAACUGCAGACCUCAAUCAUGAUUGCCGGCCUCCAUCAAACACAGGAGGACUUGGAGAACAUGCUGGAUGAUGGAGAACCGGAGACAAUCCAGCAGCAGGACUGCGGGUCAUCUUGUGCUGAGGAGAAGGCAGAAAGGACCUCAACUCUGAAGGCCGCUCUCAAUCAACCCCAGGAGGUCCUAGAGAGUCUGCAGGAGAAUCAGAAAAAACCCAACCGUAGAACAGCAAGGAAAAGGAGAAACAAAAUGGUCUGAGCCAGAUAAACAGAUAACAAUUUGGAAAAGAUUUAACCCUCAUGCAUUCUUUGGUACCAAAAGGGACAUUUUUGGUGUUUUUAUUUUUUUGCCACUCCAAGCACAAAAUGCUGGGUGCGUGUGCCACUCCAAGCACAUGCCGGCGUGCUUUAUACUGCUUCAUGUUCCCGCACACUGCUCUGUGAAGUCAUCAUUGUAUAAAUAAUUUUGCACAAAUAAUUUGCUGAAUUAUUUAAGUUGUUUAUAUUAAAAGAGGACAUUUUUUUUAAUUUAAUUUGCUUAGCCUUGUUUGUUUAUCUCUAAUAAAUCAAGGAAAUUCAGCGUGUGUGUGUUUGUG